GGAAGAGACACUUUCUGCAAGAUGGCGAAACAAGCUCUACUGGACCAUUUCAUCAUGAAAUGAUACAACUUUUCUGAAUGUGGCAGUAAUAAACCAAAUGAAGCAAGAGACACAGCUCUGAAACGCAAUAAGAAUCGAGUCCUGGGCCGGAAACAAGAAGAUCUGAAGUCUGAUCUCAGUUCUGGAUCUUGCCUGAGCUAUCAUCCACAAAGACCAACGAGCAAGCUGGGUCUCCCAUGCUCCUGCUUCUUCAACAGGCCACCGUCUCACAUCCCUUUUGGGCCUACCAGCCAGAUGUCUCAGCAUUUCUCAAAAACAGAACCCAGCAUUUACUGCCUUUCAGGCUCUGUUGGCCAAGUCCUCUGUGUAGACAAAUGGUGGUUGCUCUCUGCAGCCUUUGGUGUUAUUGAUUUCUUUCCUCUCUUGCCUUCCAUGACUCUAUUUUGGUUCUUCUUCUACUUCCCUGACUGCUCAUCUUUAAUCUCUUUCUGCUUUUUCUUUUCCCUCUCCAUCCUCUAGGACGCUUUCACAACCCUCUUCUUUUCUAUCUGCUUGGGGAUCUCAUUCAAACUCAUAGGUCCCAAUGUUCAUCUAUCAUAUUUGUAUAAGUCACAUAGCUGUUGAUGAAAGCUUUCCAAAAUUCUAAUUCUUGACAGAUCAACUUUUGAUAUUGACAAAUAAAUAAGUCAUUUGUUUUCC
RNAcentral lists this long non-coding RNA (699 nucleotides) under Homo sapiens (human). Its description in RNAcentral is "HSALNT0172293". Lineage: Eukaryota; Metazoa; Chordata; Mammalia; Primates; Hominidae. The record is from RNAcentral.